UCCCUCAUAGCUCAGUUGGUAAAGAAUCUGCCUGCAAUGCAGGAAAGCUGGGUUCGAUUCCUAGGUCGGGAA
Molecule: transfer RNA, 72 nt
Filed under: Bos taurus (domestic cattle)
Lineage: Eukaryota; Metazoa; Chordata; Mammalia; Artiodactyla; Bovidae
Also listed under: 5 other names
Rfam family: tRNA
About the family: Transfer RNA (tRNA) molecules are approximately 80 nucleotides in length. Their secondary structure includes four short double-helical elements and three loops (D, anti-codon, and T loops).
Source: Rfam by way of RNAcentral